RNAcentral lists this ribosomal RNA (915 nucleotides) under Parascutellinia carneosanguinea. RNAcentral describes it as "eukaryotic LSU rRNA". It matches the Rfam family "Eukaryotic large subunit ribosomal RNA", at positions 41 to 965 of the family's 3401-position model. Lineage: Eukaryota; Fungi; Ascomycota; Pezizomycetes; Pezizales; Pyronemataceae. The record is from RNAcentral.
UAUCAAUAAGCGGAGGAAAAGAAACCAACAGGGAUUGCCCCAGUAACUGCGAGUGAAGCGGCAAAAGCUCAAAUUUGAAAUCUGGCGCCUUUGGCGUCCGAGUUGUAAUUUGGAGAGACAUCUUCGGGGAUGGCAUACUGUCCUAAGUUCCUUGGAACAGGACGUCACAGAGGGUGAGAAUCCCGUGCCUGGAUGGUUGUCCAUCCCCAUUGUGAAGGGUCUUCGACGAGUCGAGUUGUUUGGGAAUGCAGCUCAAAAUGGGUGGUAAACGUCAUCUAAAGCUAAAUAUUGGCGAGAGACCGAUAGCGCACAAGUAGAGUGAUCGAAAGAUGAAAAGCACUUUGAAAAGAGAGUAAAAUAGUACGUGAAAUUGUUGAAAGGGAAGCGCUUGAGACCAGACACGGUCCGUGGUAAUCGCCCGCGCUUCGGUGCAGGUGCUCUUACCAUGACCGGUGCCAGCAUCGGUUCUGGCGGUGGGAUAAAAGGCAGGGGAAUGUAGCUUCCUCACUGGGAGUGUUAGAGCCCCUGUCACAAUGCCACCAGCCGGGACCGAGGACUGCGCUUCAGCUAGGAUGUUGGCGUAAUGGUCUUAAGCGACCCGUCUUGAAACACGGACCAAGGAGUCUAACAUCUAUGCGAGUGUUCGGGUGGAAAACCCUUGCGCGUAAUGAAAGUGAACGGAGGUGGGAACCCCGAAAGGGAGUGCACCAUCGACCGAUCCUGAUGUCUUCAGAAGGAUUUGAGUAAGAGCAUAGCUGUUGGGACCCGAAAGAUGGUGAACUAUGCCUGAAUAGGGUGAAGCCAGAGGAAACUCUGGUGGAGGCUCGCAGCGGUUCUGACGUGCAAAUCGAUCGUCAAAUUUGGGUAUAGGGGCGAAAGACUAAUCGAACCAUCUAGUAGCUGGUUCCUGCCGAA